This 460-nucleotide ribosomal RNA is filed under the name uncultured Syntrophorhabdus sp. Its description in RNAcentral is "bacterial SSU rRNA". It matches the Rfam family "Bacterial small subunit ribosomal RNA", at positions 923 to 1382 of the family's 1533-position model. The record is from RNAcentral. Lineage: Bacteria; Pseudomonadati; Thermodesulfobacteriota; Syntrophorhabdia; Syntrophorhabdales; Syntrophorhabdaceae.
GCACAAGCGGUGGAGCAUGUGGUUUAAUUCGACGCAACGCGAAAAACCUUACCUGGGUUUGACAUGCCGAGUACCGAUGGAAACAUUGGGGUGCCCCGUAAGGGAACUUGGACACAGGUGCUGCAUGGCUGUCGUCAGCUCGUGCCGUGAGGUGUUGGGUUAAGUCCCGCAACGAGCGCAACCCUCACCCUUAGUUGCCAUCAUUAAGUUGGGCACCCUAAGGGAACUGCCGCAGUUAAUGCGGAGGAAGGUGGGGAUGACGUCAAGUCCUCAUGGCCCUUAUAUCCAGGGCUACACACGUGCUACAAUGGACGGUACAAAGGGUCGCGAACCUGCAAAGGGGAGCUAACCCCAGAAAACCGCUCUCAGUUCGGAUUGGAGUCUGCAACUCGACUCCAUGAAGUUGGAAUCGCUAGUAAUCGCGGAUCAGAACGCCGCGGUGAAUACGUUCCCGGGCCUU